Molecule: ribosomal RNA, 377 nt
Filed under: uncultured eukaryote
Lineage: Eukaryota
Description: SSU rRNA
Rfam family: Eukaryotic small subunit ribosomal RNA
Source: RNAcentral
AGCUCCAAUAGCGUAUAUUAAAGUUGUUGCAGUUAAAAAGCUCGUAGUUGAACUUUUGGCUUGGCUGGGCGGUCUCUCAUUGAGUAGUACUUUCUGGCCUCGUCUUUCCUUCUGGAGAAGUAUGGUGCUAUUCAUUUAGUGCUGUAGGGAACCAGGACUUUUACUUUGAAAAAAUUAGAGUGUUUAAAGCAGGCUUGGCUUGAAUACAUUAGCAUGGAAUAAUAAAAUAGGACUUUGGUUUUAUUUUGUUGGUUUUCUCAACCAAAGUAAUGAUUGAUAGGGACAGUUGGGGGCAUUUGUAUUGAGCCGUCAGAGGUGAAAUUCUUGGAUUGGCUCAAGACAAACUUCUGCGAAAGCAUUUGCCAAGGAUGUUUUCA